Molecule: small nuclear RNA, 108 nt
Organism: Sceloporus undulatus (fence lizard)
Lineage: Eukaryota; Metazoa; Chordata; Lepidosauria; Squamata; Phrynosomatidae
Source: RefSeq, a predicted model, not a curated record
AUGCUCACUUAGGCAGCACAUAUACUAAAAAUUGAAACAAUACAGAGAAGAUUAGCAUGGCCCCUCCGCAACGAUAACAUGCAAAUUUGUGAAGCAUUACAAAGAGAU